Molecule: ribosomal RNA, 202 nt
Filed under: Bacillus subtilis
Lineage: Bacteria; Bacillati; Bacillota; Bacilli; Caryophanales; Bacillaceae
Description: partial 23S ribosomal RNA
Rfam family: Bacterial large subunit ribosomal RNA
Source: RNAcentral
UCUCCGAAAUAGCUUUAGGGCUAGCCUCAAGGUAAGAGUCUUGGAGGUAGAGCACUGAUUGGACUAGGGGCCCCUACCGGGUUACCGAAUUCAGUCAAACUCCGAAUGCCAAUGACUUAUCCUUGGGAGUCAGACUGCGAGUGAUAAGAUCCGUAGUCGAAAGGGAAACAGCCCAGACCGCCAGCUAAGGUCCCAAAGGAUA